CUUUUCCACACCUUUAGUAUUGUGUUAGAUGAAUGUUUCUCAUCAGCAGGGACUGAAGUAUUUGCCAAGGUAGAAGAGGAAGUGAAUGAGAAAAAUAAAGAAAAGUUCUGGAAGAAAAACUGCUGCUUCUGCAAGAACUCUGAAGUUGGAACCAAAGUUUACCUUUCAGCAUGACAGCAACCCAAGCACACUGACAAACCAACACUGUAAUGGUUAAGGAAUAAAAAAGCAGGCAGGGGUAGGUGGGAUCCCACAGUUCAUUUCAAACAAUCAACCAACCAACAGGUUGCUGGACCACACACUAAAGGUUGUUUCUGGGCAGAUUACCUAUUAAGUGGAUGAAACUGACCCGUAGUAGCAUCUCAAAAGUAAAAAUAAACUAUAGAAUCAUGAGAAAUUUCUGGAUUUUGGCCCCUGAAUCUUGUCCCUUCAAACCAGUCUCCAUUAUCUUGAUCACUUCCAGCUAUUUUGACACACUUUUCAUCAGACCUAGCUAG
Molecule: long non-coding RNA, 497 nt
Filed under: Salvator merianae (Argentine black and white tegu)
Lineage: Eukaryota; Metazoa; Chordata; Lepidosauria; Squamata; Teiidae
Description: lncRNA (ENSSMRG00000005081.1)
Source: RNAcentral